Molecule: ribosomal RNA, 582 nt
Filed under: uncultured bacterium
Lineage: Bacteria
Description: partial 16S ribosomal RNA
Rfam family: Bacterial small subunit ribosomal RNA
Source: RNAcentral
UGGGGAAUUUUGGACAAUGGGCGAAAGCCUGAUCCAGCAAUGCCGCGUGUGAAGAAGGCCUUCGGGUUGUAAAGCACUUUUGUCCGGAAAGAAAUCCUUGGCUCUAAUACAGUCGGGGGAUGACGGUACCGGAAGAAUAAGCACCGGCUAACUACGUGCCAGCAGCCGCGGUAAUACGUAGGGUGCAAGCGUUAAUCGGAAUUACUGGGCGUAAAGCGUGCGCAGGCGGUUUGCUAAGACCGAUGUGAAAUCCCCGGGCUCAACCUGGGAACUGCAUUGGUGACUGGCAGGCUAGAGUAUGGCAGAGGGGGGUAGAAUUCCACGUGUAGCAGUGAAAUGCGUAGAGAUGUGGAGGAAUACCGAUGGCGAAGGCAGCCCCCUGGGCCAAUACUGACGCUCAUGCACGAAAGCGUGGGGAGCAAACAGGAUUAGAUACCCUGGUAGUCCACGCCCUAAACGAUGUCAACUAGUUGUUGGGGAUUCAUUUCCUUAGUAACGUAGCUAACGCGUGAAGUUGACCGCCUGGGGAGUACGGUCGCAAGAUUAAAACUUAAUGAAUUGACGGGGUCAUAGCUGUUUCCU